AGAGCGAACGCUGGCGGCAGGCCUAAUACAUGCAAGUCGAGCGCACCUUCGGGUGAGCGGCGGACGGGUGAGUAACGCGUGGGAACGUGCCCUUUGGUACGGGAUAACUCAGGGAAACUUGAGCUAAUACCGUAUGUGCCCUUCGGGGGAAAGAUUUAUCGCCAUUGGAGCGGCCCGCGUUGGAUUAGGUAGUUGGUGGGGUAAAGGCCCACCAAGCCUACGAUCCAUAGCUGGUCUGAGAGGAUGAUCAGCCACACUGGGACUGAGACACGGCCCAGACUCCUACGGGAGGCAGCAGUAGGGAAUCUUGCGCAAUGGGCGAAAGCCUGACGCAGCCAUGCCGCGUGAAUGAUGAAGGUCUUAGGAUUGUAAAUUCUUUCGACGGGAAGAUAAUGACGGUACCGGAGAAGAAGACCCGGCUAACUCGUGCCAGCAGCCGC
Molecule: ribosomal RNA, 440 nt
Filed under: uncultured soil bacterium
Lineage: Bacteria
Description: bacterial SSU rRNA
Rfam family: Bacterial small subunit ribosomal RNA
Source: RNAcentral